GAGCGGCAAAAGCUCAAAUUUGAAAUCUGGUACCUUCGGUGCCCGAGUUGUAAUUUGGAGAGGGCAACUUUGGGGCCGUUCCUUGUCUAUGUUCCUUGGAACAGGACGUCAUAGAGGGUGAGAAUCCCGUGUGGCGAGGAGUGCGGUUCUUUGUAAAGUGCCUUCGAAGAGUCGAGUUGUUUGGGAAUGCAGCUCUAAGUGGGUGGUAAAUUCCAUCUAAAGCUAAAUAUUGGCGAGAGACCGAUAGCGAACAAGUACAGUGAUGGAAAGAUGAAAAGAACUUUGAAAAGAGAGUGAAAAAGUACGUGAAAUUGUUGAAAGGGAAGGGCAUUUGAUCAGACAUGGUGUUUUGUGCCCUCUGCUCCUUGUGGGUAGGGGAAUCUCGCAUUUCACUGGGCCAGCAUCAGUUUUGGUGGCAGGAUAAAUCCAUAGGAAUGUAGCUUGCCUCGGUAAGUAUUAUAGCCUGUGGGAAUACUGCCAGCUGGGACUGAGGACUGCGACGUAAGUCAAGGAUGCUGGCAUAAUGGUUAUAUGCCGCCCGUCUUGAA
This 548-nucleotide ribosomal RNA is filed under the name Saccharomyces cerevisiae (brewer's yeast). RNAcentral's name for it is "eukaryotic LSU rRNA". It matches the Rfam family "Eukaryotic large subunit ribosomal RNA", at positions 96 to 658 of the family's 3401-position model. The record is from RNAcentral. Lineage: Eukaryota; Fungi; Ascomycota; Saccharomycetes; Saccharomycetales; Saccharomycetaceae.